MicroRNA precursor from Homo sapiens (human), 83 nucleotides. It matches the Rfam family "mir-3923 microRNA precursor family". The record is from Rfam. NCBI's taxonomy places the organism in Eukaryota, Metazoa, Chordata, Mammalia, Primates, Hominidae.
GGUAGAGUGAGCUCUAAUCCAAUAUUACUAGCUUCUUUAUAAGAAGAGGAAACUAGUAAUGUUGGAUUAGGGCUCACUCUACU